GCGCGGGGCGUGGGCGCGGCACCUGGGCCCGGGCACCGCCACCUAGGCCCUAGCUCCGACCAGUGGUGUUCUAUAAACGCUUAUUACAUCAUUGUGCAUAGGCUUCAUUUUUAAAAGUACUCCCAAAUAAAUACAAGGAGGCGAUGGAAAUUGAAUGAAGAUUCGAAGGAUUCCCAUAGAGCGUGGCUCACUUCCCCUCACCGGGACAGCGAGCGGCGGCUCACCUGGGAGAGCAAAGCGUGGCUCUCCUGCGCCCACCCGGGAGAGCAAACAAUGGCUCACCUGCGCCCACCCGGGAGAGCAAGCGUGGCUCACCUGCGCCCACUCGGGAAAGCCAGCCGCCAUCCUGUGCUGCAGGCAGGGAGCGGGCGGCGGGAGAGGAGCGGAUCCACUUAGGUCAGCGGUUAAAACGUCGUUACAAGAGGCCACCCCGGCAUCGCGGGGCCUGUGGCUGCGCCCCCUCUUGAAUUCAGGCCUAGCACAUCACCUCCGCCCCUCGCACCCUGCAGUCUGCGCUCCAUACAGCACGUGAGCGGGUGCUCAGCAAUGUUCCCUGGCUGAAAGAACCGCAUAGAGUAGCAUGCAAAAAUGACAUGCAUGUUUAAGAUAAAAUAAGGGAGAGGACACCUGUUCUGACUGAGUCUGGCAACUCAGAUCUCCCCGCAGCCAACAUCUACAUUCCUUUGGACAGCUGUCUGCUGUGUAGGGACACCUCCCUGGAACUUUGAAAAGCACCCCAUCAUUACCUUCCACUUUGUUCUGGAGCAAGGUUUCAAAAGAAGAGUGCCGUAUUUUGAUUAAUUUAGUGAAUUGGAUUUUCAGACACAAGUAAGAGCAUCCACUCAGUGGCCUCUGCAGUAAAUAAUGAUAUCAGAUCACAUAACAAGAAGACUGGAGGUUGGCGGGAAAUCUGGACCUGGUGACUCAAAGAAGUCAUGAAGGACCAUCUCUCCAUUCUGCCACCUUCUCGCCUGUGGAUUUUCCUCCCCAGGCUUGUCACUUCAUUGUCGAGAGAUGCCCUCACAAUCCAAGCCAGGCAGCCUCACAUGACCAGAUCUAAAACACAAAGAGGGAGCCAAACUGAGAAAGGACCUUUUCCCUCUGAACACUUCUCUCUUGGAAAAAGAAAAUGUUUCCCAGAAAGCCUCAUAGCCUUCCUCUUAUAUCUCCUUGACUAACUGGGACCCGGAUCCCUGGAUAUCCUUUCCUGAGAAAGAGAGGGUCUGGGGCAGGGGAUAGAGAAAAUGACUAGCAACUAGCAGCACAUGAUGUUUAAACAUAAGAUUUAAAGAAAUGCAAGGCACAAACAAUUUGAAGACUUUUUUUAAGUUUUUAAAAUCUUCACAAAAUAAAAAGGAAUUGGACAAUGCACUUUAAAAACUAGAAGACGUUUCACUGAAAACAGCAUCUCCUAAUUCAUUUCAUGGCUUAGAUAGUAAUAGAAAAUUAUUUUAUUCUAAUUCCAUACUUUAUCAACUAAUUUUAAUUAUUUUAUAAUUACCCAAAAUAUGUCAUGUAGAAUGAAAAUAAAAGAAAAUGAAAACAGUUAUAUCAAGGCCAAGUCAGUUGUAUGUUUACUGGCUAUUUAGAAAUUUCUAAAUACGUGUAUAUUUAGAAAUGACUAUAUAGAUACUAUUUGGGUAAUGUUAGGGAUGGAAAGUUUAUGUCCCCCCAAAAUUUGUAUGUUGAAAUCCUAAGCCCAAUGUGAUGGUUUUAAGGGGCGGGGCCUUUGUGAGGUGAUUAGGUCAUGAGAGUGGAGACUUCAUGGAUGAGAAUAGUAAGUAUCCUUAUAAAAGAGACUCCAGAGGCUGGGUGCAGUGUCUCAUGCCUGUAAUCCCAGCACUUUGGGAGGCCGAGGCAGGUGGAUCGCCUGGGGUCAGGAGUUCGAGACCAGCCUGGCCAACAUGGCAAAACCCUGUCUCUACUAAAAAUACAAAAAUUAGCCAGGUGUUGUGGUGGGCACCUGUAAUCCCAGCUACUUAGGAGGCUGAGGCCUGAGAAUUGCUUGAACCCAGGAGGUGGAGGUUGCAGUGAACUGAGAUCGCGCCACUGCACUCCAGCCUGGGGGACGGAGUGAGACUGUCUCCAAAAAAUAAAAUACAAUAAAAGAGACUCCAAAGAACUUUCUAGCCCUCUUGCCACCACCUAAGGAUGCAAAGAGUUGACAGCAACCUGGAAGAGCCCUCACCAGAACUCGACCAUUCUGGCACUCUGACUUCCAGCCUCCACUGUGAGAAAUAAAUUUCUAUUGUUUAUGAGCCACUCAGCAUAUGGUACUUUGUAGCCCUAGACAGGCUAAGACAGGUAAUUAGCAAUUUUAGGUGAUUUUCAUCAUCAAAAUUUUCAUGAUGGCAUUUUGGAGAAUUCACAUAAACCACUCUGUUACCCUCCUAAAAGUAUUGCUCAAAUACUGAAUUAUAUUUAUGCUUGCCAAAGUUAAUUUUUUUCCAACAAGUAACACUAGCCACUUCAUUUUGUGCUUUUGAUACAAAAGCAUUUCCCAAUCCAGCGGCUUUCAUCUUCUGGCCUGGUUGGCAAAAGUGUAACUCACUUCUGCACCCUCUCUGAACCCUAGUCUCCUCCUCAAAUGUAAAACAGUAAUAAACCUUUCUUACCCAGGAAGCCAUUAUAAGGAUUAUAAUCAACAUAAGAUAUAAUUCUUUAAUUAUCAAAGCAGUUGCUGGCAUGUGGCAGGCAUUCAACAGAAACCGUGUUGCUAUGUUAUUUUUAUUGUUACCAUUAAUAUUCCUAUUGGGAUUGAAACCCUUAUGUCAUAUCAAAACUUUUCCAUCUUUGACAAAUGAGACAUAUUAGGAUAGUAUCUUAAUAAUAUGUAAGAGUUUAGUGCUUGAGCUAUUCAAUUAUUAAACUUUGCUUCCAAGACCACAGACUGGUGGUAUAUACUGUGUGCGUGUGUGUGUGUGUGUGUGUUUGUGUGUGUGUAUGAGAAAGAAUAUGCUGUUCUUUUCUUCUUCUGGGUAGAAGUUGUUGAGCCUU
RNAcentral lists this long non-coding RNA (2997 nucleotides) under Homo sapiens (human). RNAcentral describes it as "HSALNT0122655". The record is from RNAcentral. Lineage: Eukaryota; Metazoa; Chordata; Mammalia; Primates; Hominidae.